This is a non-coding RNA of Pichia kudriavzevii, 73 nucleotides long. Lineage: Eukaryota; Fungi; Ascomycota; Pichiomycetes; Pichiales; Pichiaceae. The record is from Rfam.
UGAGUCGUAGACUAAUAGGUAAGUCACUUGCAUUUGGGGCAAGCUAAUAAUAGUUCGAAUCUAUUCGAUUCAA